AACGAACGCUGGCGGCAGGCCUAACACAUGCAAGUCGAGCGCGUGUAGCAAUACACGAGCGGCGUACGGGUGAGUAUAACGUGGGAACCUGCCCUUCGGUACGGAACAACCCAGGGAAACUUGGGCUAAUACCGGUAUGUGUUCUCCGGGUGUGGUGCUCGGGGAAGAAAGAUUUAUCGCCGAAGGAGGGGCCCACGCCGGAUUAGGUAGUUGGUGGGGUAAUGGCCUACCAAGCCUACGAUCCGUAGCNGGUCUGAGAGGAUGAUCAGCCACACUGGACUGAGACACGGCCCAGACUCCUACGGGAGGCAGCAGUGGGGAAUAUUGGACAAUGGGGGCAACCCUGAUCCAGCC
Molecule: ribosomal RNA, 354 nt
Filed under: uncultured bacterium
Lineage: Bacteria
Description: bacterial SSU rRNA
Rfam family: Bacterial small subunit ribosomal RNA
Source: RNAcentral